Long non-coding RNA from Microplitis mediator, 703 nucleotides. RefSeq lists it as uncharacterized. The transcript has 3 exons. Lineage: Eukaryota; Metazoa; Arthropoda; Insecta; Hymenoptera; Braconidae. The record is from RefSeq and is a predicted model, not a curated record.
AAAUGCAUAAGUUAUGUGAAAUGAAAACCAUAUUUCCAAGAUUUUUUUAUUCCAUUAAAAUUUUUAAGGCUAUCAAAUUAUUGGAAGAAAUGGUCAAAACAUUAAGUUUAAGGUCUUUAAUUAAAGCUUAUUAGACAAGCUUUUAAAUACUUUUUACUGGAAUUGUCUAUCAGUUUUAGUUUUAAUGUUAUAUGAACUUCAACAGUGAAUAAAAACUGAUUUUUUCGAAAACUCGUGGAAAUUUCAAACAGCCAUAACUUCACAACUAUUCGAACGAUUCAGCCCAUCUUUGAACUUGAUCAAGAUAAUCGCCUAUGGAAUAAGUGUGAAAAAUUUCAUUAAGAUCCGAUAAGAACUGUAGGCGCUAUCGUAAUGACAAGACCAGUUAUAAUCAUACGUCGUAGAGGUUAUUUUGUGCACAAUAAAAUACAACUGACGAAAUUUGAUUAUAAUGGGAAAUGCAUAAAUGAUGUUGAAUGAACACCAUAUUUUCAACAUUUUUUGAUUCCAUUAAAAUUUUCAAGGCUAUCAAAUUAUUUGAAGAAAUGGUCAAAACAUCAAGUUUAAGGCAGCAGCUUUCUUAAACACAGUAUUGCCGAUAAAAAAUCAUCUUGAGAACUGCGACCCUAUAGUUCACACAACAUGUCGAGUUACUUCAUACAACGAGUUCAUUUCUGUCAUAACUAUUUUUAUUAUCGGAACG